This 793-nucleotide non-coding RNA is filed under the name Hycleus phaleratus. Lineage: Eukaryota; Metazoa; Arthropoda; Insecta; Coleoptera; Meloidae. The record is from RNAcentral.
GUGUGGAUUACACGUUUUAAGUUAAGGCAAAGUUUAAUUUUGGCUUGAAAUUUGGCUGUUUUAUUUAUUUAUAUGCAAUUUAUUAUGAUUAAAUAAGUCUUAGAAAGAUGGAGGAAGGCAGUAUGUAUAAUUAAGAAUUAGGGGAACCUAGACUUAGAAAUUAUUAUUUAGUACAGACUUAAUUUGUGCCAGCAGUUGCGGUUAUACAAAUUGUACAGGUUAAAUUUAUUUAAUUAAAUUAAAUGUUAAAUAUAAUUAGUAGAUUAAAUUCAAAUUUAUUAGGUGAAAUUUUAAAUUUGAUUUUUCUAUUUAAGUGUUUUUGAAGUUGGGAAAUUUCUCUUUAGACUAGGAUUAGAUACCCUAUUAUUGGAAAAGUAUUAUCAAAGUUAAAAUUACUAAUAGCUAUGAUCUUUAAAAUUAAAGAAUUUGGCGGUAUUUUAGUCUAUUCAGAGGAACCUGUUUUAUAAUUGAUAGUCCACGAUUAGUUUUACUUUAGAUCUAAGCUUGUAUAUCGCCGUAGUUAGAAUAUUUUAGUAGAAUAUAAAUAUUCAAGGGAUCAAAUUAAAUAGGAAUUCAGGUCAAGGUGCAGUUUAUUUUAAAGGAAAAAUGGGUUACAUUGUAUUUAUAGUUGGUCUUUGUAUUUGAAAAGUUUUAGUAAACUGGAUUUGAUAGUAAUUCUCCUUAUCUUUUUAGGAUGAUUAUGCUCUAAAAUAUGCACAUAUCGCCCGUCACUUUCACUUAAGGUGAAAUAAGUCGUAACAUAGUAGGUCUAUUGGAAAAUGGGCCUGGAAUG